AUGCUGUGAGGCAAAGCCCGUUAGAUGGAGCCCUUGUAGGGUGGAGGAGGCGAGGAGCGGAGUAGCCUACGCUGACGUCAAUAAAAAAAAAAGCAGUCAUUUUUAACCAGUCUGCGCAUUGACUGACCGUUGAUAACAUUGCGCACAGACAACACCGCUGCUGGACCAUACCUAAUCUCAUCGAACCACCGUAGAAUUUCAACCGGACACCGGAGCACGGAGAGAUAAAAAGGAACCCCGUCGUUUGCAGGUGCGGGUGGGCUGACGUCUGCAAGAACAACCGACCGAGGCAACGCUUGAUGGAGGAGUGAAAGCUCGAUGGCGGACAUGUCUUUUGCUCUACGCUUUUAGCCUCUUUACAGUGCUGCCUUGUCGAGUUGUUCAAGCAGCAUUGUACAGGGCUAUGACAGCGUCGAGCGCCCCUCUACUCCCGGGGCCACUGCCCCUGACCCCUUGGAUGGAGGUCAACCAAUUGAAAUACCUAUUAAUGAUUAAUUGUAUGAUUAACCUUUUUUUAUCAGUGUGCUGCUUACAAGGGGGGAAAUUAGUUAUAUGUAUAAAAGUGUAUACUAUGUAAAAAAACAAAAA
Molecule: long non-coding RNA, 588 nt
Organism: Gadus macrocephalus (Pacific cod)
Lineage: Eukaryota; Metazoa; Chordata; Actinopteri; Gadiformes; Gadidae
Exons: 2
Source: RefSeq, a predicted model, not a curated record